GACGGACGAACCUCUGGUGUGCCAGUUGUCCUGCCAAGGGCAUGGCUGGUUGGCUACGUUCGGAAAGGAUAACCGCUGAAAGCAUCUAAGCGGGAAGCCUGCUUCGAGAUGAGGACUCCCACCCCCUUUGAGGGGUUAAGGCUCCCAGUAGACGACUGGGUUGAUAGGCCAGAUCUGGAAGCCCGGUAACGGGUGGAGGUGACUGGUACUAAUAGGCCGAGGGCUUGUCCUCAGUUG
This 237-nucleotide ribosomal RNA is filed under the name Streptomyces sp. SID14478. Its description in RNAcentral is "partial 23S ribosomal RNA". It matches the Rfam family "Bacterial large subunit ribosomal RNA", at positions 2696 to 2925 of the family's 2925-position model. The record is from RNAcentral. Lineage: Bacteria; Bacillati; Actinomycetota; Actinomycetes; Kitasatosporales; Streptomycetaceae.